Molecule: ribosomal RNA, 254 nt
Filed under: uncultured bacterium
Lineage: Bacteria
Description: partial 16S ribosomal RNA
Rfam family: Bacterial small subunit ribosomal RNA
Source: RNAcentral
CACGUAGGGUGCGAGCGUUGUCCGGAAUUAUUGGGCGUGAAGAGCUCGUAGGCGGUGUGUCGCGUCGGCCGUGAAAACCUGCAGCUUAACUGUGGGCUUGCGGUCGAUACGGGCAUCACUGGAGUUCGGCAGGGGAGACUGGAAUUCCUGGUGUAGCGGUGAAAUGCGCAGAUAUCAGGAGGAACACCGGUGGCGAAGGCGGGUCUCUGGGCCGAUACUGACGCUGAGGAGCGAAAGCGUGGGGAGCGAACAGG